This 199-nucleotide ribosomal RNA is filed under the name uncultured bacterium. RNAcentral describes it as "partial 16S ribosomal RNA". It matches the Rfam family "Bacterial small subunit ribosomal RNA", at positions 328 to 539 of the family's 1533-position model. The record is from RNAcentral.
ACGCUCGACACCUACGGGAGGCAGCAGUGGGGAAUAUUGCACAAUGGGGGAAACCCUGAUGCAGCGACGCCGCGUGAGCGAAGAAGUAUUUCGGUAUGUAAAGCUCUAUCAGCAGGAAGAAGAAAGACGGUACCUGACUAAGAACGCCCCGGCUAACUACGUACCAGCAGCCGCGGUAAUCUGAGCGGGCUGGCAAGGC